UCCGGUUUAACACCGGCAGUCUCCUUAGAGUGCCCAACUAAAUGAUGGCAACUAAGGACAAGGGUUGCGCUCGUUAAGGGACUUAACCCGACAUCUCACGAUACGAGCUGACGACAGCCAUGCAGCACCUGUCUUCCUGCCUCCGAAGAGGAGACCCUAUCUCUAGGGCUGUCAGGAGAUGUCAAACCCAGGUAAGGUUCUUCGCGUUGCAUCGAAUUAAACCACAUGCUCCACCGCUUGUGCGGGCCCCCGUCAAUUCCUUUGAGUUUUAAUCUUGCGACCGUACUUCCCAGGCGGGGUACUUAAUGCGUUAGCUACGACACUGCAGGGGUCAAUUCCUGCAACAUCUAGUACCCAUCGUUUACGGCGUGGACUAC
This 377-nucleotide unclassified non-coding RNA is filed under the name uncultured Oligoflexales bacterium. RNAcentral describes it as "contains 16S-23S intergenic spacer region". Lineage: Bacteria; Pseudomonadati; Bdellovibrionota; Oligoflexia; Oligoflexales. The record is from RNAcentral.